Molecule: long non-coding RNA, 521 nt
Organism: Empidonax traillii (willow flycatcher)
Lineage: Eukaryota; Metazoa; Chordata; Aves; Passeriformes; Tyrannidae
Exons: 4
Source: RefSeq, a predicted model, not a curated record
CCCUGAGCAUCCCCCAGGCGGAGUCUCUGACCGCGCUGGCUCGAUCAGUGAUCUCGCGGAGAAACCCCCCGAAUGUGCUCGAACGCAAAGCCUCCGUGUGCUCGGAGACUGGCAGAGCUGAGCACAGCCACGGGUGAAAACAGCACCCCAGGAGAAAAGCAGCGAAGGACUAGACAGGAAAAGGAAGAGGUACCGGCAGCCCCUGACAUCGAUGCACCACCUCUGUGCUUGUAAGAAAUCCUGAUUUGCUCCUCAAAACUCAGUGCCUGAACUUUGCCUUGAAGCUGCUCAUCUUCAUCACACAGUACAGGAACAGAAAAAAAAAAAACGCUCUGAAACAGAUACAAAAGAACCUUCUUGCAACAUUCUGGUGCUAAGCUUCUGUAAUUAUCUUUCUGAUUUUGAAGAAGGUAAGGAAGUAGUCUAUAGUUGAAAUUGGGUACAAGAAUACUGAUCUAUGAAGAAAACCCAGUUUUGCCCAUGUACCAGAGGUGAAACAAUAACAGCUCUGCUAAAAGAGU